Molecule: long non-coding RNA, 3446 nt
Organism: Nyctereutes procyonoides (raccoon dog)
Lineage: Eukaryota; Metazoa; Chordata; Mammalia; Carnivora; Canidae
Exons: 5
Source: RefSeq, a predicted model, not a curated record
GGGCUGGGCCUGCCCCGGAGCUGUCACCGGAAGUGCCCUGCAGUGUGCGGGCUGAAUCACGCAGACGUCAUGGCCACUCGCAGGGCCUGCUGGUGACUCAUGCGUCGGCCCACUCCUCUGCGGUUGCCUCUGGUUGGAGCUCAGGGAACCCGGAGCCAGUUCCCGGGGGGCCAGCUCUGAAGCCCCCCCUUUCAGGUGCCAGGGAGACAAUGAAACACAAAGCAGGUGAAGCGCAGGCCCUCGUGGAGAUUGUGCAGCCCGGGGGACCUGGGAAACCAGCCAACUAACUGAUGUGCGGUCGAGUGUCAGUGGGCGUGCCCCAGGCGAAGCAGGAGCCUUGCUCUGAGCCUGUCGCAGCUGUCCAGGAUUUUCUCCUGGGGCCUCUUCACUCCUGUCUGUGGAGCUCAACGUGGGUUUUGAGUUCCAGACCGAACAUUCAACUAGACAUCUCCGCUUGGGCGCCCUGCCGACACUGCCCCAAAUGCACCCCAAAUAUGCUGGCCCUCUGUCUGGCAAAUGGCACUCUGGCCCCUAGGAGCUGGGGGGCAUAUCCAGGUGUGGGCUGUGCUAUUUCCUGUAUGGUCAGGAUGGGGAGCCUCGCACCCUCCCUUCUGCACCCCCUGCCCAGUACCACCUGCUGAUCCACUCCCAGUUGCCCUCUAGUGCAAGGACUGGAGCACUGGAGAUCCCCAAGGCCACCUCUCCUGGGUACGGCCACACUCUGGUUAGGCUGCCCGCUCCCACUCUGUCUUCCCCUGGUCCGUUAUCCACACAGCGCCUAGAAUGAUCUUGCAGAGAGCAUAUUGGGUGCUAAAGCCCUCAGGGCACCCCUGCUCCUCAAGGUGAAGGCCUCAUCCUGCACUAGCCCAGGUGCCUCGCUGGCUUCACCUUGCCAGCCGUGCCCGGACCCUCCCUGAGCCUCGGGGCUCCAGACACACUGCUUCUGCGACUCCCGCCCCCUGCCUGGACCUGGCUACCUGUCCAAGUUCUGCGCCGUCUGGGCUCAGCCUGGGCACCUCCCCAGAUGUGCCCCCAUGGCCUGCGGUGUACCCGCCCUGAGAGUCUGCUGUGUAGAAUGCACCUGUCUGCCACUUUGCUGACCGUCCUCCCACCCUGCAGGUUGUGAGCCCCCGAGGCCAGGGACAGGGUCUACUGUCCCCACAGUAUCUUCAGCCAGCCCCCGACAUGGGCACAGCACUCUGGAUUCUCUCAAAUAAAUGUUUAUUGAGGGAAUGAGUGAAUGUGGGAGCCAGUGGGUAACCGACCUGGGGGAGGCUGCUGUCCCCGCCACAGCAGCAGGAGGGUCACAGCAGUGGGGAUUGAAAGAGGUAAUGUGGGUGCCUGGGUGGCCCGGUCAGUGGAGCAUCUGCCUUUGGCUCAUGUCAUGAUCCUGGGGGUCCUGGGAUCGAGCCUCACGUCAGGCUCUGUGCUCAGAGGAAGUCUGCUUGUCCCUCUCCUUCUGCCCCUCCUCCCGCUUGUGCGCUCUCUUUCUCUCUCAAAUACAUAAAAUCUUAAAACAAAACAAAACAAAACCAGAGAGCGAAAUGAUGCUUUGGAGCCUCUGGCCCCUGAGGGGAUAGUUGGUACGUGGGGCUCACCGCCAGCUCCUCAUCCUCUCCCCUGUCCAUCUGGCUAACCUGCGAGUGGCCGCGGUGCUGACCAUUCUGUCCGUCCUGCCACUGCCGCCCCCUCACAGGGCCUUCUGGAGACAGUCCCGUACUCCAGAUGCUCAGGCCUUCCGGGCCCGGAGCCCGACCCGAAGGUGGAAUCCUUGGGGCAUACUUGUCCCUGGCUCGGGGCCGGGCUGUGCUCCCUUCUGAGGACUCAGAGAAGCCAGGGUCGGCAGCCAGCGCCCCAGGCACCUCCUUGGGUGCUCCCCAGGUCAGAGGCGAGGUCUCGCAUCUACUCGCUAAUGCACGAUUUAUUUCUUUUGCAAGUUUCUCUGGGACCUGUGCUUGUCCAGAUGUUUGCAUGAUGUGGCGGGAAAUGAGGUUUAUGGAGCUGCUGGCAGAGCAUCCCUGCGGUUCUAGAGAUUUGGGGGGUCUUGGAGCUCGGGCUCCAGCUGCAUGCGGCUGCCUGCGUCCUUGCAGCAUUUAGCUUCUGAGCCCGGCAGCUUCCUCGGCCCCAAACACGUGAGCGACCUCAUGACUCUGCCCCUCCAGUGAUCCCCGACAAACUGUUCAGCGAGUAGGUGGAAUUCCUAUUUUUAAUAGCCAAGUUGUUGAGAAAUUGUGGGGCUUCUACUUCCUUUGGAACAGAAGGCUUCCAGAAAUAUUUAUACCUUUGCUUCUAUAGAAUCUAGGAAAUCAUCCCAGCCCAGAGGAGGUCAGCAGGUGGCGUGGGAUCACCUAGGAGACGGCCCCAGUGACAUCACCAUGCUCACCCAGUUGGGGACCCGCCAGUCCUCUCGGUCGGCUGGCCCUGCUCUCUACUGGGGAGGGGGGCUUGGUAAGGGUUGGUGGGACCAGGUCUUGGGGGCUGCCAGUGUCAUGCUGAGGGAUCUGAACCCUGUCCCUGAGCCCUCAGUGAGAUUUAGUGGAGGACUAACAUCGGAUGUGCAUUUCCGAGAGGUCAGAGGCAGUGGAUUAGAGCUGCGUCCUGUCAAGGCUUUCAUUUUGCAAGAGACCUGUGUACAGUGCCAGGGCGCAAUCCCUCUAACCCUGUGCAGUGCAUUCCAGCAUUUUCUGUUCUGUUUCAUUUGUUUUUCUAAAAAUGCUGUUUGCAACCCUCUGCACUGAUUUCCCGUCUCCCUGAAUGUUUUUUGAUCUGAAGUUGGAAAAGCAGCACUGGAUUGGAGAGAGGAAGCCCGGGCAGAGGCUGCUGUCACUGUCCAGGUAGCCGUGCUGAGCUGAAGAGCCACUUACGUCAUCCCUGAUCCCCGUUUACCUUACAGGAGGUACCCGUACCAUAUUUGAGGAGGCUCAGGGGGAUCAAGGUAUUGGUCUGAGGUCACAGAGCUGGUGACAGGCAGGGAUGGGGUUUGAACUCCAGACCAGCUUCCACAACAUUUUCCCUCCUGCAUCCUGGGCUCCUCUGCCUUGUUGCUCCUGGUUCUUGCAACUAGCUGACCAAGGUUGAGAGAGAUGCCCAGAUUUAAAUCUGGGUACCCGGGGGAGGGGCUUGGGCCUUGGCAAGUUUGAGGCCCCCUGGUUCAAUCCUAGCAUCCCGCUAACUGGGGACCACUGCUCUGGGAAGGGAUGGGAGUGGCCUUCGUGUCUGCCUUCCAUCCCAGCCUCCUCUCCGUGGUCUGUUCAUUCAGCCAGUGCAUGAGAAGCACUUUCCUCUGGAGGCCUGGCAGCCCACACCUGGCAGCCCUGAGCACAUCCCGCCCCGCCCCACCUCCAUGUGAGGCUCAUCCCCACAGCCCUGCCCUAAGGUGUGUGCUCCUCCCCCUGCACCCUGCCCCUAGGUGUGUGCUCAACCCCCUAUCCCUGCCCCCAGGUAUG